GUAGGGGCGUCCCGGGCGCGCGGG
This 24-nucleotide microRNA is filed under the name Homo sapiens (human). RNAcentral's name for it is "hsa-miR-6789-5p". The record is from miRBase by way of RNAcentral. Lineage: Eukaryota; Metazoa; Chordata; Mammalia; Primates; Hominidae.